This is a long non-coding RNA of Astatotilapia calliptera (eastern happy), 611 nucleotides long. NCBI's taxonomy places the organism in Eukaryota, Metazoa, Chordata, Actinopteri, Cichliformes, Cichlidae. The record is from Ensembl.
CCCCCCCCCCCAUAAUCAAGGGACUGCAUAUAUAUAAAUGCUGUCCCACUGGGGACAGGCUCACAGACUCACACACAUUCGACAACAUUUUUAUUAUUUUUCUACUUUUUAUUAAUCAGCAUGCCAGUUUUGCGAAGGACCUGCUGAUGGGAUGCUGGGACUCCACCUGCGCAUAGAGAGAAUGAAGACGCUGAUCUCAAAUGCCAACACGAUCUCUGGCUCCCUCGCCCUCUGGGCCUCUGGUCUGUCUUUUUCUUUCUGGAGAAGGUUGUUCAAGUUUUUCCAGCCUGCAGGAUUCUUCCUGGUUUGCCAGAAGCUGUGUGAUAUGUUUGAUAUUCGGUUGUUCUUGUGCUUUAUAAUGUCAACUAAAUAUCAGACAUAUUCCUACAGAGUCCGGCACUGACUUCUGACCUUGCUUCAUCCCUGAAAAAAGGCCUGUGUGACGUGAGACGUUCUGCAAAAUAAAUAUGGCGCCAAUGGAAAUCUUUACAAGUACAUGAUUGCAAUUCUUAAAUAGCAAAUUUUUAAAAUAUAUACGUAAAUGAUUAAGCUUGAGAAUGAUCUCUUUAUACUCUGAAUGACGCAAAUAAAAAAAAUGAGUGAAUAUCGGC